UCUCUUAAUUCUAAAAAAAAAAUGAACGCUGCAUCUCCCUCCUUCUCACAACAGCGCUCGACUCUCUGUCUCUCAAUCAAGAAAGGAAUCGCUGCUCACAUCUCUCUCUAUCUCGCUCGAUCUCCUCCGGCCGCUGCUGCUCUGCUCUGGGCCGCGACCAGCGGCGCUUGGCCUUCGGCCGCGCCGCCCCGCUCAGCCGCCUCCCUUCUGAAGCUGUUGCCGCUCCGCCUGAAGUCGACGAGUCAGCCGUCGCCGAGUCUCCCCUUUGCGGCAGAUCCGCCGCCGCGGUUCCCUUUCCGGCGAAACCGGCAUCAAGUCGUUGGAGUACCGGCGAGGCCGCAACCGGCCACUGGCGCUGCUCCCUUCGUCUCUGACUUCCUCUCUUUUUCCAUCAUUUCCUCUCUAUCUCUGAUCGUGCUCUCUCCUCUCAAAUUGCAUGACCUCAGCCGUGCAUCCUCCUCAACAGGCUCUGCCAUGGCCGAGUCCGGUGAGGUUGGCGUCGGCAUCAGACCUUGCCCAAAACUCUCAUCUUCCGUGUUUCUUCUCUGAAAUUUCAACUCCAGAUUAUACCCCCAAUCGAACCCUAAUUCUUUCAUCAUGGACUACCACCGCUGCUGUCCUCUUCGGUGUAGACGGGCUCGAUGCCUCAUCGCGCCGUUGUUGUUAUAGUCAGAUUCCAGCGAGGCAGCAAGGGAUCGCCGCCGUCAUUCCCUCGGCUCGACUGAACAGAUUGCAGCUGAAAUAAACUCUCUAUGAUUUUUGGUGCAUAAAGGAAGGAGGGGGAAUCGUAGUUGGUGAUUUUCAGGCUACUAUGAAGCCCUCAAUUUAUAGGCAGAUUAGGCCGCAAAACUUGAAAACUAUUUACAGCAAAUGUGGAAAUUUUGCUGCAACUUUUGACAAAAAUGAAAUUGGUUGGUGGCUGCCAUAAUUUUUUUUUGACUAAUAGUGGAAUUUCAUGUGAGACUUUGAAAAGUGGAGUACUCAUAGGGUGCGUC
Molecule: long non-coding RNA, 995 nt
Organism: Salvia miltiorrhiza (redroot sage)
Lineage: Eukaryota; Viridiplantae; Streptophyta; Magnoliopsida; Lamiales; Lamiaceae
Exons: 2
Source: RefSeq, a predicted model, not a curated record